This 452-nucleotide ribosomal RNA is filed under the name Lissagria laeviuscula. RNAcentral describes it as "partial 16S ribosomal RNA". The stretch from base 352 to 452 matches the Rfam family "Bacterial large subunit ribosomal RNA", at positions 2473 to 2573 of the family's 2925-position model. Lineage: Eukaryota; Metazoa; Arthropoda; Insecta; Coleoptera; Staphylinidae. The record is from RNAcentral.
UGAAAUAAUUUAAUGGCCGCAGUAUUUUGACUGUGCAAAGGUAGCAUAAUCAUUAGUUUCUUAAUUAGAAACUGGAAUGAAGGGUUUUACGAGAAAAUAACUGUCUCUUUAUAAUUUUUUUAAAAUUUUAUUUUUAAGUUAAAAAGCUUAAAUAUAUUUAAAAGACGAGAAGACCCUAUAGAGUUUAAUAAUUUUUUAAUAAAUAAUAAAAAUUGAAUUUUUUUUUAUUUUUAUAAGAAAAAUUAUUUAAUUGGGGUGAUUAAAAAAUGUAAAAAACUUUUUUUUUAUAUAAACAUUUAUUUAUGAAUUAUUGAUCCAUUUAUUAUGAUUAUAAGAUUAAAUUACCUUAGGGAUAACAGCGUUAUUUCUUUUAAGAGUUCAAAUCGAUAAAGAAGUUUGCGACCUCGAUGUUGGAUUAAAAUAUAGUUUUGAUGUAGCAGUUAAAAUACUAG